GAGCACGUAGGUGGGUUUGUAAGUCAGAUGUGAAAGCCUUCUGUUCAACGGAAGAAUUGCACCUGAAACUGCGAGUCUUGAGUGUAGGAGGGGAGAAUGGAACUUCUGGUGGAGCGGUGAAAUGCGUAGAUAUCAGAAGGAACGCCGGCGGCGAAAGCGAUUCUCUGGCCUAUUACUGACACUCAGUGUGCGAAAGCUAGGGGAGCAAACGGGAUUAGAUACCCCGGUAGUCCUAGCCGUAAGCGAUGGGCACUAAGUAGAGGGGUUUUAA
This 271-nucleotide ribosomal RNA is filed under the name uncultured anaerobic ammonium-oxidizing bacterium. RNAcentral's name for it is "partial 16S ribosomal RNA". It matches the Rfam family "Bacterial small subunit ribosomal RNA", at positions 565 to 834 of the family's 1533-position model. The record is from RNAcentral.